GGCGGAUUAGCUCAGCUGGUUAGAGCAGGCGUUUCAUACGCGCCGGGUCCGGGGUUCGAGUCCCUGAUCCGCCA
Molecule: transfer RNA, 74 nt
Filed under: Pseudomonadota bacterium
Lineage: Bacteria; Pseudomonadati; Pseudomonadota
Also listed under: 4 other names
Description: tRNA-Met
Rfam family: tRNA
About the family: Transfer RNA (tRNA) molecules are approximately 80 nucleotides in length.
Source: RNAcentral